AUGAACGCUGGCGGCGUGCCUAAUACAUGCCAGUCGAGCGAACGGACGAGAAGCUUGCUUCUCUGAUGUUAGCGGCGGACGGGUGAGUAACACGUGAAUAACCUACCUAUAAGACUGGGAUAACUUCGGGAAACCGUAGCUAAUACCGGAUAAUAUUUUGAACCGCAUGGUUCAAAAGUGAAAGACGGUCUUGCUGUCACUUAUAGAUGGAUCCGCGCUGCAUUAGCUAGUUGGUAAGGUAACGGCUUACCAAGGCAACGAUGCAUAGCCGACCUGAGAGGGUGAUCGGCCACACUGGAACUGAGACACGGUCCAGACUCCUACGGGAGGCAGCAGUAGGGAAUCUUCCGCAAUGGGCGAAAGCCUGACGGAGCAACGCCGCGUGAGUGAUGAAGGUCUUCGGAUCGUAAAACUCUGUUAUUAGGGAAGAACAUAUGUGUAAGUAACUGUGCACAUCUUGACGGUACCUAAUCAGAAAGCCACGGCUAACUACGU
This 495-nucleotide ribosomal RNA is filed under the name uncultured bacterium. Its description in RNAcentral is "partial 16S ribosomal RNA". It matches the Rfam family "Bacterial small subunit ribosomal RNA", at positions 29 to 506 of the family's 1533-position model. The record is from RNAcentral.